RNAcentral lists this long non-coding RNA (3403 nucleotides) under Solanum tuberosum (potato). Its description in RNAcentral is "long non-coding RNA (STUB_LNC007435)". Lineage: Eukaryota; Viridiplantae; Streptophyta; Magnoliopsida; Solanales; Solanaceae. The record is from RNAcentral.
AAGUUGUGAAUUGUUUAAUGUUUCCAUGACAUUAAAGUUGAAAUUUCAGGUAAGUUUUCACUGUCAUCUUUCUGUUGUUUGUAUCACAUUUCAAGAAAAUGCAACCAUUAAUUUAGUAAUUUGAAGAAAAGUGACAAGAAAACACGUUGAAGUUGCAAAAUCAGAAUAACAACCAGGCCAAAUUAUACCGAAGGAUUGAUUUCACAUUCUCCAAUUUCCAAGCCUUCAAGUAUAAUUCCACAUUCUUUCAGAACCUUCAAAUUUAGGUUGAUUUUUGUUGAAAAAAAUUCAAUUCUCAAGUUUAUGUAUUGAUAAGGAACAGUGACUGAUUUUGGCGAAGUGUUUGUAUUGAGCAGUUGUACUUGGAUUGGAUAAAAGUUGCGAUUGUAAUAUCGGAACACAAAACUUAGAGAACACAUCACCUCUAAAUUAAGUUCUUGCAGUAAAUCGGAUAUUUAUCUGAAUUGAAUAUUAUUUAGGAUUUUUCAUAGGAUAGUUGGAAGCAAUAACUUAACAUCAUUAUUGUUAUCAUGCUCCUAAUAAUGAAAACAAUGGAAUUGAAAGGAUGAUCAUAUAAGUAUAAGAUGAACGAUGACCCUUAAGAUGUGAUCUUAGGUUACAACACAUUAUAUAAUGGAUAAAGUAGACUAUAUGCUUAUAUAAUAUCAUGAGAUAAGACUAAACUCUAUUUUAAAGUCCCUAUAAUGUCAAGCUUUUCCAUCUGAAUGUAAAUUUUUUUAAUGGAGGUAUAAUGAGUGAUUGUUUUAGGACCAUCAAAUUGGAUGCAAGUAGAAUUAUUUUUGUAGUCUAUUUCAGUAAAUUUAGAAUACAUUUUAAUUGCAUUACGUAAUCCUUGAAAUCUUUAAACUCAACUGUGACAUUCUUGCAAGGCUUUGGGCAUAGCUAUAUAUUUUCGAAUCUUUAAAGAUGAAAAUAGAGGGUCUAUGCGGUUGCAUACAACUUUGCUUGAGUAAGGCAUAGGGCAGAAUGAGCUGUAUUAUUUUCAGUAAGGUAAGAGAUGGACUCCUACUAGGAGGCAAAGUAUGCCUUAUAUUAUCUGGAGCAAACACCCUUUCAUCUCAUGUAGAAGCAUUUAUGCGAGUUGUAGCAUGUACUCAUAUUCUUCAAGGAUAUGGUCAUACUGAAACAUGUGUUGGUACAUUUGUGUCGCUACCCAACCAGUUUCAUAUACUCGGUACGGUUGGUCCUCCGGUGCCCAAUAUGAAUGUGUGCUUGGUGUAGCUGCGCUGUUCCUGAAAUGGAAUAUGAUGCUGUUUCAAGCACACCUAUGCGUGAGGGGAGACACUCUGUUUUGUUACUACAAGCGUGAAAGAAGUCACGAUUAAUGGAUGGUUGGUUCCAUACAGAGGAUAUUGGUGAGAGGCAACCAAAUGGUAGCUUGAAGAUAAUUGAUCGCAGGAAGAAUAUUUUGAAGCUAUAGCAAGGAGAAUAUGUUGCAGUCAAAAAUUUGGAGAAUGUAUUCCUGUUAUUGAUUCGGUAUGGAUAUAUGGGAGCAACUUUGAGUCUGCGGUUGUUAAUCCAAGUAAACAACAGGUUGAAAAAUGGGCCAAACAGAAUGGUCUUUCUGGGGAUUUUAAUUCCAAUUAAAAGGUGAAAGAGCACAUACUAGGGGAGCUUACUAAAGCUGGAAAAGAAAAGAAGUUGAAAGGGAUUUAAGUUCAUAAAGGCUCUACACCUUUAUCCAGUUCCAUUUAACAUGGAACGUGACACUAACAUUUAACAAGAAAAGAACACAAUUGUUUAAAUACUACAAGGAUGUGAUUGACACCAUGUACAAGGAUGCUAAAUGAACUUGCAAGGCUUGAAAUUAGCACCUUUUCUUUUUAACUACACCUCCCUCUUUUUUUGUUUUAGUACUGUACAUAUCACUCAAAUAAUAUGAGAUUGUUAUUAAUUAAAUUAUCUUUCUAUUUUUACUUGAAUUUAUCUAUUUACAAUCUAAUUAAAUAUUAUUUUUUUCUUAGGUAUGAGCGUAUUGAACUUUCAAAGGUAUAUUUCUUUGAACCUUUUUUAAUGUUUUAUUUUAUAAUUUUUACUUAACCAUCAUUUAUUUUAUAUAUAUAGAAAAAGAAUGUGAACGUCACUAAGGGUUUUGAUCCUCAAGUGCCAAAAAGUUCAAAAAGUCAUAAACCAAGGGUAUGUGAUGAUAAAUUAUUAUUAUUAUUAUUAUUAUUAUUAUUAUUAUUAUUAUUAUUAUUAUUAUUAUUAUUAUUAUUAUUAUUAUUAUUAUUAUUAUUAUUAUUAUUAUUAUUAUUAUUAUUAUUAUUAUUAUUAUUAUUAUUAUUAUUAUUAUUAUUAUUAUUAUUAUUAUUAUUAUUAUUAUUAUUAUUAUUAUUAUUAUUAUUAUUAUUAUUAUUAUUAUUAUUAUUAUUAUUAUUAUUAUUAUUAUUAUUAUUAUUAUUAUUAUUAUUAUUAUUAUUAUUAUUAUUAUUAUUAUUAUUAUUAUUAUUAUUAUUAUUAUUAUUAUUAUUAUUAUUAUUAUUAUUAUUAUUAUUAUUAUUAUUAUUAUUAUUAUUAUUAUUAUUAUUAUUAUUAUUAUUAUUAUUAUUAUUAUUAUUAUUAUUAUUAUUAUUAUUAUUAUUAUUAUUAUUAUUAUUAUUAUUAUUAUUAUUAUUAUUAUUAUUAUUAUUAUUAUUAUUAUUAUUAUUAUUAUUAUUAUUAUUAUUAUUAUUAUUAUUAUUAUUAUUAUUAUUAUUAUUAUUAUUAUUAUUAUUAUUAUUAUUAUUAUUAUUAUUAUUAUUAUUAUUAUUAUUAUUAUUAUUAUUAUUAUUAUUAUUAUUAUUAUUAUUAUUAUUAUUAUUAUUAUUAUUAUUAUUAUUAUUAUUAUUAUUAUUAUUAUUAUUAUUAUUAUUAUUAUUAUUAUUAUUAUUAUUAUUAUUAUUAUUAUUAUUAUUAUUAUUAUUAUUAUUAUUAUUAUUAUUAUUAUUAUUAUUAUUAUUAUUAUUAUUAUUAUUAUUAUUAUUAUUAUUAUUAUUAUUAUUAUUAUUAUUAUUAUUAUUAUUAUUAUUAUUAUUAUUAUUAUUAUUAUUAUUAUUAUUAUUAUUAUUAUUAUUAUUAUUAUUAUUAUUAUUAUUAUUGUUGUUGUUGUUGUUGUUGUUGUUGUUGUUAUUACUACGUAAAUAAAUGCAGGCUCGCUAUCCAUAUGGUAGAAUGCCAAUAAUGCAUUCUUGUUCUAAUGUAAGUGUAUAUUUUAUCCCUAAUUUAUUUUUUGUAUUUUAAAUGGGCUUAUAUUUAAAUAAAAUUAAUUUUCAAUAGAUUUGUAUAUAGUGUUUCUAAACUGAUACAAUUGUAUAUUAUUUUUAAUUUAAAUGAUAUUACUAUAGAGAGGAGUUGUUGAGCAAGAAAAUGGACAUGGAAAGAGGGAGCAUCCAUGGCUGACCAG